CUCUCUCUCUCUCUCUCUCUCUCUCUCUCGAACUCCCAGGUCUCUCUGCAUCUCCCCAUGAUGACCAGAUCCAUAUCUCUCAAAUUGGAGCAAGAAAUUUAGGCAUGGAUCCCUCUCUCAAUCACGUCUAUCUCUUUCUAUCAAACUCUCAGGUCUCUUCUCUCCUCACCUCAAAUUGCAGCAAGGACUCUUUUAUCCUCACCUCAAAUUGCAUCAAGGACUCUUCUAUCCUCACCUCAAAUUGCAGCAAGGACGUUAGGGCGUGGAUCUCCUGCGCUCAACGAGAUUGGAUUCAAAAAAAAUCUAAGGAUUCAAUUUUAAAUCUAAUCUUCUCACGUAUGCUCUUUGGAUACAUCAUGAAGAUCGGUUUGGGGCAGAACUAAGCCCAUAAGGCUAGCUUAUAAAUUAAGCAUGCAACCUAACAUAGACCAUCUCAAAUCAAGGAGGCUCUAUUCGUUGUCAGCAUCGUCAUUGCUCAGAUUCUCCUAUUAGGUCAAAUUCUUUUGUUUUCAAUUGAAACAAUGGCAUAUGAUAUGCUCGAUGCCAUUAACAAUGGGAAGGAUUCCUGGAAAGCGAAGGUCGGAGUAAUUAGGCUAUGGGACGCCAUUAACCUCAAUAACAAUGAACUAAUUAGCCUUGACAUGAUACUGCUUGAUGAACAGGGCACUAUGAUACAUGCCAAGGUAAUAAAACAUAUUGAUGCGGAGCAUCCUUCCAUCAUCCCCAUGGACUCUACAGCAACACAUCCAACCCCUCAAGGACCCAUGACUCGAGCACGUGCAAGAGCUCUUGAAACCGAGGUGACAUCACUCC
Molecule: long non-coding RNA, 813 nt
Organism: Triticum dicoccoides
Lineage: Eukaryota; Viridiplantae; Streptophyta; Magnoliopsida; Poales; Poaceae
Exons: 4
Source: RefSeq, a predicted model, not a curated record